This 573-nucleotide long non-coding RNA is filed under the name Phoenix dactylifera (date palm). Its description in RNAcentral is "long non-coding RNA (PDAC_LNC007461)". The record is from RNAcentral. Lineage: Eukaryota; Viridiplantae; Streptophyta; Magnoliopsida; Arecales; Arecaceae.
UUUGAGCCCAUCAAGAAAGGUGAAGAGAGAGUCUUCGUUGCUGAAGUCUGGUACCUCCAACAACAAUUCGCUGAACUCUCGCACAUACUUACAUACAUCACCCUUUUGCGUGAGUCGCCGUAGUCGUGCUCGAGCUUCAUCCUUAGCAAACGCGGGGAAGAAUUGCUUUCGAAGUUUAGUUUGGAACUAUGACCAAGUGGUGAUUGGAGCAGCCCCUCACUUCACAUCGUUAGCCCGACGUCGCCACCAAAGCAUCGCCACAUCCCUCAAGAACAUGGCCGCCGUGCUCAGCUUCAUGGCUUCCUCCCUCACGCCGGUAACCUGUAGGUAUUGUUCCACGGCGAAAAGAAAGUUAUCCACCUCCUUCGUGGAGUGUCGUCCGCAGAACUCCUAUGGCUUGGGAACAUCAAGCUUGUGCAGGGGGCGCGUAGCCUCUCUUGUGACCUCCAUUGUCAUGGAGAAGAGGAUGCGCCUGUGGUGGUACUCUCCUUUAAAAGAUCAACCACCUAAUCUUGGAGAGCCUUCACCAUGAUCUCCAACCCCUCGUUAUGCCGUAGCACUUCCUUAUAGCGC